Gadus macrocephalus (Pacific cod) is the source of this 1271-nucleotide long non-coding RNA. RefSeq lists it as uncharacterized. The record is from RefSeq and is a predicted model, not a curated record. The transcript has 2 exons. Lineage: Eukaryota; Metazoa; Chordata; Actinopteri; Gadiformes; Gadidae.
AAAGGUUGGGUAUGCGAUUUGCGAAACGCCAGCAGAUUUUGAAAAUACACAACUCAAAUGGUCCUACCCAGAGCUAUAGAGAGAGAGAGUUGCGACACUUCCAUUGGACUCCGUUGUAGCGCCUACUUCCGGGGUAUGGAGCCUCGAAUAGUUCCAAACAACCAUUUUACGGUGUAGGAGACCGUUCAUUUCCAUUGCUGGCCGCCGAGUAACUUCUGAGAUAAAUUGAUUAAAUAGCUACCUCUUUUGAAUUGUCAACCGUCUAUAUUGUAUCAGAGGCCCUUUAUGAUGCAUAUACUGAUCUUUAUUUGUAAAUGCACAGCGUAAUUAUAUAUAUAUUUAUCUUGGUAGACGACCGAUUGCUUGCUAGUUUGUUAGCUCGAUUUCACCAUCUGUGAAGGUAUCUCCAGGGGUAAAUUGAUUAAAUAGCUACCUCUUUUGAAUUGUCAACUGUCUAUAUUGUAUCAGGACCUUUAUGAUGCAUAUAUUGAUAUUUAUUUGUAUAUGCACAGCGUAAUUAUAUAUAUUUUUAUCUUGGUAGACGACCGAUUGCCUGCUAGUUUGUUAGCUCGACUGCACCAUGUGAUGGUAUCUACACCAACAAUUACAAAGUUCAGUACUAGUGAAUCUAACUUUUAUUUAGUUAGUUAUUUAUGUUGGAUUACUAGGAUAAUUUAGGUUGAUUUAAGGACGGGUUUUAUGAUGCGAUAGCUAGUAGAAAUAACAGUGUUUGUUUAAUUAUAUCCUGGAAAGGGUGAUGUUCAGCACAUGAAGCCCUACAGAUGCCGCCGAUUCAACAAUGCUGAUUAUGAUGGGCGGUCAAUUUAACCUUUGCCUUAUUAGGUCCUCCACAGUCGCCCCAUCAGUCCCUGGCAGUCUGGUCCCUGGAGCAGCUGGCCCUGGCAAAAGUUAUUCCUUCACUGUUGACCCCUGGCUGACUGGCCCUCGGCACACAAAUCCCUGGAUCACCCGCCACUGGAUCACCCGCCCCUGGAUCACCUGCCCCUGAAUCACCUGCCCCUGGCAAUGUGGCCUCUUGAUUGCUCUCUCUGUCUCCUGUGAUGUCCUUUUCAACGCUCUUGAAAUCCACCUAAAUUUCUCCCUCAAUCUCUGUAACAAUUACAAGGUAAUGUUGCUGUUAUAUGUAUUUUGCCUUUGCAUUUGCAACUACUGUCAUCUCCAAUGUAAGAAAAUGAAUUAAAGCAAAACAUUUCUGUAAUGUGAAUUAAAUCAUCUGCCACAAUCAGAAACCAAUACAAUUUAUAAAUGGA